UACGUAGGGUGCAAGCGUUGUCCGGAAUUACUGGGCGUAAAGCGUGCGCAGGCGGUUUUGUAAGACAGAGGUGAAAUCCCCGGGCUCAACCUGGGAACUGCCUUUGUGACUGCAAGGCUUGAGUGCGGCAGAGGGGGAUGGAAUUCCGCGUGUAGCAGUGAAAUGCGUAGAUAUGCGGAGGAACACCGAUGGCGAAGGCAAUCCCCUGGGCCUGCACUGACGCUCAUGCACGAAAGCGUGGGGAGCAAACAGG
Molecule: ribosomal RNA, 253 nt
Filed under: uncultured bacterium
Lineage: Bacteria
Description: partial 16S ribosomal RNA
Rfam family: Bacterial small subunit ribosomal RNA
Source: RNAcentral